RNA transcript from Brassica napus (rape), 1078 nucleotides. It is a transcript of the gene named ATP-dependent Clp protease proteolytic subunit 2, mitochondrial, with no coding region annotated. The transcript has 5 exons. The record is from RefSeq and is a predicted model, not a curated record. Lineage: Eukaryota; Viridiplantae; Streptophyta; Magnoliopsida; Brassicales; Brassicaceae.
AGACUAUAGAAUUACGGGAAAAAAAUGCAUAAGCUACUAGUCAGCGUCUCCUGCUUCCUCCCCUCUUUCUUCCAAGCACAACCCUAGAAAUUCGAGUCAUGAGGGGUCUGAUCUCCGGCGCGAAGAGGCUAUGGACAACAACACCGCCGACGGCGAUAACCACCGCCAUAGCGAGAAGAAGCUACAGCGUAAUUCCAAUGGUUAUCGAGACUUCGUCGCGAGGCGAGAGAGCUUACGACAUCUUCUCGCGACUGCUCAAGGAGCGCAUAAUCUGCAUCAACGGCCCCAUAAACGACGACACGUCACACGUCGUCGUGGCUCAGCUUCUCUACCUCGAGUCCGAGAAUCCUUCGAAGCCGAUUCAUAUGUACCUCAAUUCACCGGGCGGACACGUCACCGCCGGUCUUGCGAUUUACGAUACUAUGCAGUACAUUCGAUCUCCGAUAAGCACGAUUUGUUUAGGCCAAGCUGCGUCCAUGGCUUCUCUGCUCUUGGCAGCAGGUGCCAAGGGACAAAGACGGGCACUUCCCAAUGCGAGCGUCAUGAUUCAUCAACCUUCAGGAGGAUAUAGUGGACAAGCUAAGGAUAUGACUAUCCACACGAAGCAGAUUGUCCGUGUUUGGGAUGCGUUGAACCAGCUCUAUGUGAAACACACGGGGCAACCCUUAGAUGUGAUUGAGAAGAACAUGGAUAGGGAUCAUUUCAUGAGUCCUGAGGAGGCUAAAGCGUUUGGUAUAAUCGACGAAGUGAUUGAUGAGAGACCACUGGAGCUGGUGAAGGAUGCUGUUGGAGGUGAAAGCAAAGAUAAAAGUUGAGAGAAACUGAGUCGCCGAUGGCUCCUAGCCGUAGAAAAACAGGGAGCAAAGGCAUCGCGAAAGGAGAGUUGAGACUGGGUGAUCUCGUUCUUGCUAAAGUCAAAGGCUUUCCUGCUUGGCCUGCUAAGAUCGACCGGCCCGAAGAUUGGGAUCAUGUACCAGACCCAAAGAAAUACUUCGUUUAUUUCUUUGGAACACAGGAAAUAGCUUUUGUUGCGCCUCCUGAUAUUCAAGCCUUCACUAGUGAGGCGAAGAAUAAACUG